UCUUUGCAGCCUUGUGAAGCUGCCCCUGGCAAGGACUAUUGCCUGUGGGUACAACAAGGUCGCACAAAGCAAGUCAAGGGAUCAAAAGGCGUGACUUCUGGAGGCUCAGGAGCUUCACGUGCGAUGUUCCUCGGACAGUCUCCUGCCUUCCACGGCGGUGAUGGUCUCGUUCUGUAGCUGUCACCUUUCUUAGGGCAGGUAGAGAAAUCCUGGCAGCCAGAUAUUGUUUGGUAUAGGGGAAGCUCUUCCUGCCGGACACUGUCAGCUGUCACAAUA
This 276-nucleotide small nucleolar RNA is filed under the name Anabas testudineus (climbing perch). Lineage: Eukaryota; Metazoa; Chordata; Actinopteri; Anabantiformes; Anabantidae. The record is from RNAcentral.